GAGUGGCGAACGGGUGAGUAACACGUAGGUGAUCUACCUAGAAGUUGGGGAUAGCCUGUGGAAACCACAGGGUAAUACCGAAUGAGCCUAUAUACAUACGUGUAUGUAGGGAAAGAGGCUCAGGCCUCGCUUGUAGUUGAGCCUGCGGCUCAUUAGCUAGUUGGGAGGGUAAAGGCCUACCAAGGCGACGAUGAGUAGCCGACCUGAGAGGGUGGGCGGUCACACUGGGACUGAGACACGGNCCAGACUCCUACGGGAGGCAGCAGCUAAGAAUCUUCCGCAAUGGUCGAAAGGCUGACGGAGCGACGCCGCGUGGACGAAGAAGGCCCGGAAGGGUUGUAAAGUUCUUUUCUCAGAGAAGAAUAAGGUGAGGAGGGAAUGCCUCAUUGAUGACGUUAUCUGAGGAAUAAGCCCCGGCUAAUUACGUGCCAGCAGCCGCGGUAACACGUAAGGGGCGAGCGUUGUUCGGAAUUAUUGGGCGUAAAGGGCGCGUAGGCGGCUUGAACAAUGCCUGGUGUGAAAGGGCCACCAAGCUUAACUGUGGGAAUGCGCUGGGAAACUUGUUUGGCUAGAGUUCAGGAGGGGAAGCUGGAAUUCCUGGUGUAGGGGUGAAAUCUGUAGAUAUCAGGAAGAAACACCCUGUUGGCGAAGGCGAGCUUCUGGCCAUGGACUGACGCUUGAGGCGCGAAAAGCCGUGGGGAGCCGAACCAGGAUUAGAUACCCUGGGUAGUCCACGCCGGUAAACGAAUGUGCCCCUAAGGUGUGGGUUGGCGAAAUGAUCGGUGCCGAAGCAAACGCCGAUAAGUGCACCGCCUGGGGAGUAUGCUCGCAAGGGUGAAACUCAAAGGAAUUGACGGGGGCCCGCACAACCGUUGGAGCAUGUGGUUUAAUUCGAUGAUACGCGAGGAACCUUACCAGGGCUUGACAUAUGCAUGACGGUCGUAGAGAUACGGCUUCACUUCGGGGCGUGUAUACAGGUGCUGCAUGGUUGUCGCCAGCUCGUGCUGUGAGGUGUUGGGUUAAGUCCCGCAACGAGCGCAACCCCUGCUGUCUGUUGCCAGCAUUUCGGAUGGGGACUCAGACGGUACUGCCGGUGACAAACCGGAGGAAGGUGGGGAUGACGUCAAAUCAUCAUGGCCCUUAUGUCCUGGGCUACACACGUGCUACAAUGGCCGGUACAGAGCGACGCGAAACCGCGAGGUGGAGCAAAUCGCAGAAAGCUGGUCUCAGUACGGAUUGGAGUCUGAAACCCGACUUCAUGAAGUUGGAAUCGCUAGUAAUCGCGCAUCAGCAUGGCGCGGUGAAUACGUUCCCGGGCCUUGUACACACCGCCCGUCACACCACCCGAGUUGGGGGUACCCGAAGUUGCUCGUCUAACCGGUUACGGAGGACGGUACCGAAGGUAUGCCUG
RNAcentral lists this ribosomal RNA (1411 nucleotides) under uncultured organism. RNAcentral's name for it is "16S ribosomal RNA". It matches the Rfam family "Bacterial small subunit ribosomal RNA", at positions 93 to 1470 of the family's 1533-position model. The record is from RNAcentral.